GUGAAAUUGUUGAAAGGGAAACGAUUGAAGUCAGUCGUGCUGGCGUGAAAUCAAUUUCGUGCAACUGGUCUCACUGCUGCAGCGAGCCUUAAAACCGCUGUAACGAUGAGAUCUAGUUGUGCGGGGUGCACUUUUACAUCAGCUGGUUAGCAUCAAUUUCGACUGUCAUAAAAAGGCUAGAGGGAUGUGGCUCCUUCGGGAGUGUUAUAACCUUUAGCGGAAUGUGGUGGUUGAGAUUGAGGUUUGCAGCGGGUAUUUCUACCUGGCCUCUUGUUGGUGUCUUGGUAGCGACAGCUUGCUGACGUUAUUAGGAUCAGCCGGCGAAAAGGUUAGAGUGGAAGAUUCGUUAAGGAUGCUGACGUAAUGGCUUUAAACGAC
Molecule: ribosomal RNA, 378 nt
Filed under: uncultured Entrophospora
Lineage: Eukaryota; Fungi; Glomeromycota; Glomeromycetes; Entrophosporales; Entrophosporaceae
Description: eukaryotic LSU rRNA
Source: RNAcentral